This 447-nucleotide ribosomal RNA is filed under the name uncultured bacterium. Its description in RNAcentral is "bacterial SSU rRNA". It matches the Rfam family "Bacterial small subunit ribosomal RNA", at positions 30 to 504 of the family's 1533-position model. The record is from RNAcentral.
CGAACGCUGGUGGUAUGCUUAACACAUGCAAGUCGAACGGACUCUUCAAGCUUGCUUGAAGUAAGUUAGUGGCAAACGGGUGAGUAAUACAUAGGAAUCUACCUAGCAGUAAGGAAUAACCUUCGGAAACGGAGGCUAAUGCCAUAUAUUACCGUGUUUACACGGGAAAGAUUUAUCGCUGUUAGAUGAGCCUUUGUCAGAUUAGCUUGUUGGUGGGGUAAUGGCCUACCAAGGCGAUGAUCUGUAGCUGGUCUGAGAGGAUGAUCAGCCACACUGGGACUGCGACACGGCCCAGACUCCUACGGGAGGCAGCAGUGGGGAAUAUUGGACAAUGGGCGCAAGCCUGAUCCAGCAAUACCACGUGAGUGAUGACGGCUUUCGGGUUGUAAAACUCUUUUAGUAGGGAAGAUAAUGACGGUACCUACAGAAAAAGCACCGGCUAACUUC